GGAUCUGAGGGCGAUCUGGUUGCGACAUCUGUCACCCCACUGAUCGCCAGGGUUGAUUCGGCUGAUCUGGCUGGCUAGGCGGGUGUCCCCUUCCUCCCUCACCGCUCCAUGUGCGUCCCUCCUGAAGUUGCGUGCUCGGUUGAAGAGGACGACCACCCCAGAUAGAGGAGGACCGGUCUUCGGUCAAGGGUAUACGAGUAGCUGCGCUCCCCUGCUAGAACCUCCAAACAAGCUCUCAA
RNAcentral lists this long non-coding RNA (239 nucleotides) under Cervus elaphus hippelaphus. It matches the Rfam family "7SK RNA", at positions 1 to 239 of the family's 331-position model. From Rfam's summary of the family: 7SK was discovered as an abundant small nuclear RNA in the mid-70s but a possible function has only recently been suggested. Two independent studies have found that 7SK RNA binds the CDK9/cyclin T complex (known as elongation factor P-TEFb). P-TEFb activates transcription by phosphorylating the C-terminal domain of RNA polymerase II. The record is from RNAcentral. Lineage: Eukaryota; Metazoa; Chordata; Mammalia; Artiodactyla; Cervidae.